This 1068-nucleotide long non-coding RNA is filed under the name Gallus gallus (chicken). RNAcentral's name for it is "long non-coding RNA NONGGAT011979". The record is from RNAcentral. Lineage: Eukaryota; Metazoa; Chordata; Aves; Galliformes; Phasianidae.
CAGCGCCUCUGACCUUACUGUUCACCUAAGCAGCGGUGGGACAUCUGAAGGAGCCUUAAUUCCUGAUGCAAAAUACAACAGAGAGAGAUGAAUGCUUGAAGAUGUCUAAGAAGGUUUCAUCAGCAGCAGGAAGAGAGAAGGCACAGAAAAAAAUCACCAGAAAUUCCUCCAGAAAAUUGCUUCUUAUACUGUCCUCUAGAUUGGCUUAACCCUGAAGUGCAGGUUGACCUGAAUUCAGCUAUGAGAAAUGUCAUUUUGACUUAGUCCAAACAGAAAUCAUCCUGCCUGCUACCCACAACCAGCCGAGCUGCGCAGUCUGGAGGUCUGGGUGGGUGGCAAACCAUGGAGGCCUCUGCAAGGAAGUGGCACUUGUAGAUAAUCCCUUGUGAAUUCUCAUUACACGAAUUGCAAAGUGGUGGUGAUGACAGAUGUGGACAACGGGCUUUCUCAGCGUGUGACAGCCUGUCUGCAUUCAGUGAGCCAAGCUCCAGCCAUCCCUACACAUACUGCUGAUCUCAGCUGAGUGUUGAGGUGCUGUUUUGUGUGGGAGAGAUGUGGAUGUGCUGCAGAAUGAUUUUUGUAGCAGUGAAUUUACUAAUGCACAGAAUAGACUCCUUUUACAACACAAUGCACUCAAUAUUUCUGAUGAAGUGCUGCCAGUUUCUUGAUAGUCGAGCCAUCAACUUUUGGACAAAAUAAUUGCUGGCAAUAUUUUGUGAUUACUCAUUGUUUUCCACCUGCCUCUGAAAGAGUGAAUUAAUUAAGUUUCUCAACAGCCAUAUGAAGCAAGUGUUACAUUAAUUAAAACACGCAUGGCUCUGGAGAACCUACUGUCCAUCCAAGAAGUCAUACUUUAGCCAAAUAAAAUGCAAGUCAGCUUUCUGGUGCAGUGUUGAAACCAAAUGAGAAAUGCAUCUGCGUACCAAACUGUUACAGUGCUCAAAGUGAAAGUCAGAUAAUCACAUUUUACGGGCUCUGCUCCACAUUGUUGUUUUCCAUUGGAAAUCCAUACCAAUAACAAGACAAUAGAAAGAACAACCCACAUAGAGCUACUGCAAGCCUCUAAAU